Molecule: ribosomal RNA, 253 nt
Filed under: uncultured bacterium
Lineage: Bacteria
Description: partial 16S ribosomal RNA
Rfam family: Bacterial small subunit ribosomal RNA
Source: RNAcentral
UACGUAGGCAGCGAGCGUUGUUCGGAAUUACUGGGCGUAAAGAGUGUGUAGGCGGUGCUCCCAGUCUGUUGUGAAAUCUCCCGGCUCAACUGGGAGGGUGCGCCGAAUACUGAAUGACUAGAGUGUGGGAGAGGUGAGUGGAAUUCCUGGUGUAGCGGUGAAAUGCGUAGAUAUCAGGAGGAACACCGGUGGUGUAGACGGCUCACUGGACCAUAACUGACGCUGAGACACGAAAGCGUGGGUAGCAAACAGG